This 408-nucleotide ribosomal RNA is filed under the name uncultured bacterium. RNAcentral describes it as "partial 16S ribosomal RNA". It matches the Rfam family "Bacterial small subunit ribosomal RNA", at positions 28 to 526 of the family's 1533-position model. The record is from RNAcentral.
GACGAACGCUGGCGGCGUGCUUAACACAUGCAAGUCGAACGAAGUGGCGAACGGGUGAGUAACGCGUAAUCAACCUGCCCAUCAGAGGGGGAAAACAGUGGGAAACGACUGCUAAUACCGCAUACUGAAGGAGGGGAUGGGGUCUGAUUAGCUAGUUGGGGGGGUAACGGCCCACCAAGGCGAUGAGCAGUAGCCGGUCUGAGAGGAUGAACGGCCAAAUUGGGACUUGGGCACGGCCCAGGCUCCUACGGGAGGCAGCAGGUGGGAAUCUUCCGCAAUGGACGGAAGUCUGACGGAGCAACGCCGCGUGAGUGAUGACGGCCUUCGGGUUUUUAAGCUCUGUUAAUCGGGACGCGGUACCGGAAUAGAAAGCCACGGCUAACUCCGUGCCAGCAGCCGCGGUAAUAC